Molecule: ribosomal RNA, 491 nt
Filed under: uncultured bacterium
Lineage: Bacteria
Description: bacterial SSU rRNA
Rfam family: Bacterial small subunit ribosomal RNA
Source: RNAcentral
GAUGAACGCUAGCGGCAGGCUUAACACAUGCAAGUCGAGGGGCAGCAUAAUGAAGUAGCAAUACUGAAUUGAUGGCGACCGGCGCACGGGUGCGUAACGCGUAUGUAACCUACCUCUAACAGGGGGAUAACACUGAGAAAUUGGUACUAAUACCCCCAUAACACUUGAUAGGGCAUCCUAUUGAGUUGAAAGUUCCGGCGGUUAGAGAUGGACAUGCGUUGUAUUAGCUAGAUGGUGAGGUAACGGCUCACCAUGGCGACGAUACAUAGGGGGACUGAGAGGUUAACCCCCCACACUGGUACUGAGACACGGACCAGACUCCUACGGGAGGCAGCAGUGAGGAAUAUUGGGUCAAAUGGACGCAAGUCUGAACCAGCCAUGCCGCGUGCAGGAUGACGGCUCUAUGAGUUGUAAACUGCUUUGUACAAGGGUAAACCCCGAUACGUGUAUCGGGCUGAAAGUACUGUACGAAUAAGGAUCGGCUAACUCCG